UGGGGAAUAUUGGACAAUGGGGGCAACCCUGAUCCAGCCAUGCCGCGUGUGUGAAGAAGGCCUUUUGGUUGUAAAGCACUUUAAGCAGUGAAGAAGACUCCAUGGUUAAUACCCAUGGACGAUGACAUUAGCUGCAGAAUAAGCACCGGCUAACUCUGUGCCAGCAGCCGCGGUAAUACAGAGGGUGCAAGCGUUAAUCGGAAUUACUGGGCGUAAAGCGAGCGUAGGUGGCUUGAUAAGUCAGAUGUGAAAGCCCCGGGCUUAACCUGGGAACGGCAUCUGAUACUGUUAGGCUAGAGUAGGUGAGAGGAAGGUAGAAUUCCAGGUGUAGCGGUGAAAUGCGUAGAGAUCUGGAGGAAUACCGAUGGCGAAGGCAGCCUUCUGGCAUCAUACUGACACUGAGUUUCGAAAGCGUGGGUAGCAAACA
Molecule: ribosomal RNA, 427 nt
Filed under: uncultured bacterium
Lineage: Bacteria
Description: partial 16S ribosomal RNA
Rfam family: Bacterial small subunit ribosomal RNA
Source: RNAcentral